Amphimedon queenslandica is the source of this 241-nucleotide long non-coding RNA. RefSeq lists it as uncharacterized. NCBI's taxonomy places the organism in Eukaryota, Metazoa, Porifera, Demospongiae, Haplosclerida, Niphatidae. The record is from RefSeq and is a predicted model, not a curated record. The transcript has 3 exons.
GUUAGCUAAUAGUACUACAGGGUCAUACCCUUUAAUAACUUGGCCUUAGCCCUUAAAAGUCAACCAGCCAUAUAUAAGUUGAGCCAAGUUAGUAUACUACUGUAGUGUAGUCUUGAAAAUCCUAAAAUGAGCUACAAUAACACAGAAGGUGAAGAAGAUUAUGAUCCAUUGUUAGUUGAACAUAAAAGUGAUGCUGUACCAUCACCACCUCAGCCAUUGCCUCAGGCUCAGCCCAUGAGUC